AGUGAACGCUGGCGGUAGGCCUAACACAUGCAAGUCGAACGGCAGCACAGUAAGAGCUUGCUCUUACGGGUGGCGAGUGGCGGACGGGUGAGGAAUACAUCGGAAUCUACUUUUUCGUGGGGGAUAACGUAGGGAAACUUACGCUAAUACCGCAUACGACCUACGGGUGAAAGCAGGGGAUCUUCGGACCUUGCGCGAUUGAAUGAGCCGAUGUCGGAUUAGCUAGUUGGCGGGGUAAAGGCCCACCAAGGCGACGCUCCGUAGCUGGUCUGAGAGGAUGAUCAGCCACACUGGAACUGAGACACGGUCCAGACUCCUACGGGAGGCAGCAGUGUGGAAUAUUGGACAAUGGGCGCAAGCCUGAUCCAGCCAUACCGCGUGGGUGAAGAAGGCCUUCUGGUUGUAAAGCCCUUUUGUUGGGAAAGAAAAGCAGCAGGUUAAUACCCCGCUGUUCUGACGGUACCCAAAGAAUAAGCACCGGCUAACUUCGUG
RNAcentral lists this ribosomal RNA (492 nucleotides) under uncultured bacterium. Its description in RNAcentral is "partial 16S ribosomal RNA". It matches the Rfam family "Bacterial small subunit ribosomal RNA", at positions 29 to 507 of the family's 1533-position model. The record is from RNAcentral.